RNAcentral lists this ribosomal RNA (329 nucleotides) under uncultured bacterium. RNAcentral describes it as "bacterial SSU rRNA". It matches the Rfam family "Bacterial small subunit ribosomal RNA", at positions 588 to 916 of the family's 1533-position model. The record is from RNAcentral.
UCAGAUGUGAAAUCCCCGGGCUUAACCUGGGAACUGCAUUUGAAACUGGUCAACUAGAGUAUGGUAGAGGAAAGUGGAAUUUCUGGUGUAGCGGUGAAAUGCGUAGAUAUCAGAAGGAACAUCAAUGGCGAAGGCAGCUUUCUGGACCAAUACUGACGCUGAGGUACGAAAGCGUGGGUAGCAAACAGGAUUAGAUACCCUGGUAGUCCACGCCGUAAACGAUGAUAACUAGCCGUUGGGGGGAUUUACCCUUUAGUGGCGAAGCUAACGCGUUAAGUUAUCCGCCUGGGGAGUACGGCCGCAAGGUUAAAACUCAAAUGAAUUGACGG